RNAcentral lists this ribosomal RNA (496 nucleotides) under uncultured bacterium. RNAcentral's name for it is "partial 16S ribosomal RNA". It matches the Rfam family "Bacterial small subunit ribosomal RNA", at positions 28 to 507 of the family's 1533-position model. The record is from RNAcentral.
GAUGAACGCUGGCGGCGUGCCUAAUACAUGCAAGUCGAGCGAACAGACGAGGAGCUUGCUCCUCUGACGUUAGCGGCGACGGGUGAGUAACACGUGGAUAACCUACCUAUAAGUCUGGGAUAACUUCGGGAAACCGGAGCUAAUACCGGAUAAUAUAUUGAACCGCAUGGUUCAAUAGUGAAAGACGGUUUUGCUGUCACUUAUAGAUGGAUCCGCGCCGCAUUAGCUAGUUGGUAAGGUAACGGCUUACCAAGGCAACGAUGCGUAGCCGACCUGAGAGGGUGAUCGGCCACACUGGAACUGAGACACGGUCCAGACUCCUACGGGAGGCAGCAGUAGGGAAUCUUCCGCAAUGGGCGAAAGCCUGACGGAGCAACGCCGCGUGAGUGAUCAAGGUCUUCGGAUCGUAAAACUCUGUUAUUAGGGAAGAACAAAUGUGUAAGUAACUAUGCACGUCUUGACGGUACCUAAUCAGAAAGCCACGGCUAACUACGUG